GAUGAACGCUGGCGGCGUGCUUAACACAUGCAAGUCGAACGAAGCAUUUAGGACAGAUUACUUCGGUUUGAGGUCUUUUAUGACUGAGUGGCGGACGGGUGAGUAACGCGUGGGUAACCUGCCUCAUACAGGGGGAUAGCAGCUGGAAACGGCUGGUAAUACCGCAUAAGCGCACAGUACCACAUGGUACAGUGUGAAAAACUCCGGUGGUAUGAGAUGGACCCGCGUCUGAUUAGCUUGUUGGCGGGGUAACGGCCCACCAAGGCGACGAUCAGUAGCCGACCUGAGAGGGUGACCGGCCACAUUGGGACUGAGACACGGCCCAGACUCCUACGGGAGGCAGCAGUGGGGAAUAUUGCACAAUGGAGGAAACUCUGAUGCAGCGACGCCGCGUGAGUGAAGAAGUAGUUCGCUAUGUAAAGCUCUAUCAGCAGGGAAGAUAGUGACGGUACCUGACUAAGAAGCUCCGGCUAAAUACGUG
Molecule: ribosomal RNA, 481 nt
Filed under: uncultured bacterium
Lineage: Bacteria
Description: partial 16S ribosomal RNA
Rfam family: Bacterial small subunit ribosomal RNA
Source: RNAcentral